This 65-nucleotide transfer RNA is filed under the name Cucujoidea sp. 21 KM-2017. RNAcentral's name for it is "tRNA-Gly". Lineage: Eukaryota; Metazoa; Arthropoda; Insecta; Coleoptera. The record is from RNAcentral.
AUUUAUAUAGUAUAUUAAUUAUAAUUAGCUUCCAACUAAUAGAACUAAAAAAUUUAGUAUAAAUA